UUAAUAUUAGGAUGCAGUACAAUGUACC
This 28-nucleotide non-coding RNA is filed under the name Mus musculus (house mouse). The record is from RNAcentral. Lineage: Eukaryota; Metazoa; Chordata; Mammalia; Rodentia; Muridae.